RNAcentral lists this ribosomal RNA (479 nucleotides) under uncultured bacterium. RNAcentral describes it as "partial 16S ribosomal RNA". It matches the Rfam family "Bacterial small subunit ribosomal RNA", at positions 28 to 507 of the family's 1533-position model. The record is from RNAcentral.
GACGAACGCUGGCGGCGUGCUUAACACAUGCAAGUCGAACGAAGCUUGAUUACGGAUUCUUCGGAUGAAGUAUGAUAUGACUGAGUGGCGGACGGGUGAUUAACGCGUGAGUAACCUGCCCUUCAGAGGGGGAUAGCGUUUGGAAACGAACGGUAAUACCGCAUAAUGUAUUUUGACCGCAUGAUCGAAAUACCAAAGAUUUAUCGCUGAAGGAUGGACUCGCGUCUGAUUAGGUAGUUGGUGGGGUAACGGCCUACCAAGCCGACGAUCAGUAGCCGGACUGAGAGGUUGAUCGGCCACAUUGGGACUGAGACACGGCCCAGACUCCUACGGGAGGCAGCAGUGGGGAAUAUUGCACAAUGGGCGCAAGCCUGAUGCAGCAACGCCGCGUGAAGGAAGACGGUUUUCGGAUUGUAAACUUCUGUUCUUAGUGAAGAAUAAUGACGGUAGCUAAGGAGCAAGCCACGGCUAACUACGUG